Molecule: ribosomal RNA, 450 nt
Filed under: uncultured bacterium
Lineage: Bacteria
Description: partial 16S ribosomal RNA
Rfam family: Bacterial small subunit ribosomal RNA
Source: RNAcentral
CCUACGGGGGGCUGCAGUGAGGAAUAUUGGUCAAUGGGCGCAAGCCUGAACCAGCCAUCCCGCGUGCAGGAAGACGGCCCUAUGGGUUGUAAACUGCUUUUCCAGGGGGAGAAACUUGCGCACGUGUUGCGCAAUUGACGGUACCCUGGGAAUAAGCAUCGGCUAACUCCGUGCCAGCAGCCGCGGUAAUACGGAGGAUGCGAGCGUUAUCGGGAUUAAUGGGGUUUAGGCGGAGCGUAGGCUCAGUGGUGAAAUCCUGCAGCUUAACUGCAGAACUGCCAUUGAUACUGAUAGCCUUGAGUUUGGUUAAGGUAGGCGGAAUGUGUAAUGUAGCGGUGAAAUGCUUAGAUAUUACACAGAACACCAAUUGCGUAGGCAGCUUACUGAGCCGACACUGACGCUGAGGCACGAAAGCGUGGGGAUCGAACAGGAUUAGAUACCCGUGUAGUC